GUUAGUUGAUUUCUUUCAGCCAGUGAAAAUAUUGUGCUUCCUCGUGACCGCCAAUGUGUCCGAUGUGAAAUUUGCCAUCAUUAGCACUGAUUCUUUCCCCUCAUAGAGAAGUGUUCAUUUCCUGCAGCACUCUUGAGAAGCAACCACAGUCCGAAGCCCAUCAUCUUACACAAAGGAUCUAUACUGCAGAGGUGGCACACCAUCUACCUGUGUUAUAAAAAUGGUACCAGUUUAGAGCAUGCACAUUACUUCAGGAAAAUAAAGUUCGGGUCACUGUAUUGUCUGAGCACCUUUGGUUAAGGUGAGUUCUCUCUCUCUCAAAAUGAAAUCAUAAGGCUAGAAAUUAGAAAAACAAGAGACAUAAUACACUAAGUAUUUAAAACUAAUACAUAGAUUUGUUUUCGUGAAAGAGAAAGUCAUUCUUAUUUGUGAACCAGAAUGAGCAUGCUUUUGAUUUCUCUUAAAGAAAUGUCCCUCUCAAGUUGAAUUGCUAAGUAGAG
Molecule: long non-coding RNA, 500 nt
Filed under: Callithrix jacchus (white-tufted-ear marmoset)
Lineage: Eukaryota; Metazoa; Chordata; Mammalia; Primates; Cebidae
Description: lncRNA (ENSCJAG00000078999.1)
Source: RNAcentral